AACGAACGCUGGCGGCGUGGAUAAGACAUGCAAGUCGAACGGGAUUACUUUCCCUCGCAAGAGGGAGAGUAAUUUAGUGGCGAACGGGUGCGUAACACGUGGGCAAUCUGCCGAAAAGUGGGGGAUAGCUCGCCGAAAGGCGAAUUAAUACCGCAUGUGGUGAGGGACGACAUCUUCCUGAAUCCAAAGCCGGGGCAACCUGGCGCUUUUUGAGGAGCCCGCGGCCUAUCAGCUAGUUGGUGAGGUAACGGCUCACCAAGGCUAUGACGGGUAGCUGGUCUGAGAGGACGACCAGUCACACUGGAACUGAGACACGGUCCAGACACCUACGGGUGGCAGCAGUCGAGAAUUUUCUCAAUGGGGGAAACCCUGAAGGAGCGACGCCGCGUGGAGGAUGAAGGCUUUCGGGUUGU
Molecule: ribosomal RNA, 413 nt
Filed under: uncultured bacterium
Lineage: Bacteria
Description: bacterial SSU rRNA
Rfam family: Bacterial small subunit ribosomal RNA
Source: RNAcentral